GGUUAAGCGACUAAGCGUACACGGUGGAUGCCCUGGCAGUCAGAGGCGAUGAAGGACGUGCUAAUCUGCGAUAAGCGUCGGUAAGGUGAUAUGAACCGUUAUAACCGGCGAUUUCCGAAUGGGGAAACCCAGUGUGAUUCGUCACACUAUCAUUAACUGAAUCCAUAGGUUAAUGAGGCGAACCGGGGGAACUGAAACAUCUAAGUACCCCGAGGAAAAGAAAUCAACCGAGAUUCCCCCAGUAGCGGCGAGCGAACGGGGAGCAGCCCAGAGCCUGAAUCAGUGUGUGUGUUAGUGGAAGCGUCUGGAAAGGCGCGCGAUACAGGGUGACAGCCCCGUACACAAAAAUGCACAUACUGUGAGCUCGAUGAGUAGGGCGGGACACGUGGUAUCCUGUCUGAAUAUGGGGGGACCAUCCUCCAAGGCUAAAUACUCCUGACUGACCGAUAGUGAACCAGUACCGUGAGGGAAAGGCGAAAAGAACCCCGGCGAGGGGAGUGAAAAAGAACCUGAAACCGUGUACGUACAAGCAGUGGGAGCACGCUUAGGCGUGUGACUGCGUACCUUUUGUAUAAUGGGUCAGCGACUUAUAUUCUGUAGCAAGGUUAACCGAAUAGGGGAGCCGAAGGGAAACCGAGUCUUAACUGGGCGUUAAGUUGCAGGGUAUAGACCCGAAACCCGGUGAUCUAGCCAUGGGCAGGUUGAAGGUUGGGUAACACUAACUGGAGGACCGAACCGACUAAUGUUGAAAAAUUAGCGGAUGACUUGUGGCUGGGGGUGAAAGGCCAAUCAAACCGGGAGAUAGCUGGUUCUCCCCGAAAGCUAUUUAGGUAGCGCCUCGUGAAUUCAUCUCCGGGGGUAGAGCACUGUUUCGGCAAGGGGGUCAUCCCGACUUACCAACCCGAUGCAAACUGCGAAUACCGGAGAAUGUUAUCACGGGAGACACACGGCGGGUGCUAACGUCCGUCGUGAAGAGGGAAACAACCCAGACCGCCAGCUAAGGUCCCAAAGUCAUGGUUAAGUGGGAAACGAUGUGGGAAGGCCCAGACAGCCAGGAUGUUGGCUUAGAAGCAGCCAUCAUUUAAAGAAAGCGUAAUAGCUCACUGGUCGAGUCGGCCUGCGCGGAAGAUGUAACGGGGCUAAACCAUGCACCGAAGCUGCGGCAGCGACGCUGAUGCGUUGUUGGGUAGGGGAGCGUUCUGUAAGCCUGCGAAGGUGUGCUGUGAGGCAUGCUGGAGGUAUCAGAAGUGCGAAUGCUGACAUAAGUAACGAUAAAGCGGGUGAAAAGCCCGCUCGCCGGAAGACCAAGGGUUCCUGUCCAACGUUAAUCGGGGCAGGGUGAGUCGACCCCUAAGGCGAGGCCGAAAGGCGUAGUCGAUGGGAAACAGGUUAAUAUUCCUGUACUUGGUGUUACUGCGAAGGGGGGACGGAGAAGGCUAUGUUGGCCGGGCGACGGUUGUCCCGGUUUAAGCGUGUAGGCUGGUUUUCCAGGCAAAUCCGGAAAAUCAAGGCUGAGGCGUGAUGACGAGGCACUACGGUGCUGAAGCAACAAAUGCCCUGCUUCCAGGAAAAGCCUCUAAGCAUCAGGUAACAUCAAAUCGUACCCCAAACCGACACAGGUGGUCAGGUAGAGAAUACCAAGGCGCUUGAGAGAACUCGGGUGAAGGAACUAGGCAAAAUGGUGCCGUAACUUCGGGAGAAGGCACGCUGAUAUGUAGGUGAAGUCCCUCGCGGAUGGAGCUGAAAUCAGUCGAAGAUACCAGCUGGCUGCAACUGUUUAUUAAAAACACAGCACUGUGCAAACACGAAAGUGGACGUAUACGGUGUGACGCCUGCCCGGUGCCGGAAGGUUAAUUGAUGGGGUCAGCGCAAGCGAAGCUCUUGAUCGAAGCCCCGGUAAACGGCGGCCGUAACUAUAACGGUCCUAAGGUAGCGAAAUUCCUUGUCGGGUAAGUUCCGACCUGCACGAAUGGCGUAAUGAUGGCCAGGCUGUCUCCACCCGAGACUCAGUGAAAUUGAACUCGCUGUGAAGAUGCAGUGUACCCGCGGCAAGACGGAAAGACCCCGUGAACCUUUACUAUAGCUUGACACUGAACAUUGAGCCUUGAUGUGUAGGAUAGGUGGGAGGCUUUGAAGUGUGGACGCCAGUCUGCAUGGAGCCGGCCUUGAAAUACCACCCUUUAAUGUUUGAUGUUCUAACGUUGACCCGUGAUCCGGGUUGCGGACAGUGUCUGGUGGGUAGUUUGACUGGGGCGGUCUCCUCCUAAAGAGUAACGGAGGAGCACGAAGGUUGGCUAAUCCUGGUCGGACAUCAGGAGGUUAGUGCAAUGGCAUAAGCCAGCUUGACUGCGAGCGUGACGGCGCGAGCAGGUGCGAAAGCAGGUCAUAGUGAUCCGGUGGUUCUGAAUGGAAGGGCCAUCGCUCAACGGAUAAAAGGUACUCCGGGGAUAACAGGCUGAUACCGCCCAAGAGUUCAUAUCGACGGCGGUGUUUGGCACCUCGAUGUCGGCUCAUCACAUCCUGGGGCUGAAGUAGGUCCCAAGGGUAUGGCUGUUCGCCAUUUAAAGUGGUACGCGAGCUGGGUUUAGAACGUCGUGAGACAGUUCGGUCCCUAUCUGCCGUGGGCGCUGGAGAACUGAGGGGGGCUGCUCCUAGUACGAGAGGACCGGAGUGGACGCAUCACUGGUGUUCGGGUUGUCAUGCCAAUGGCACUGCCCGGUAGCUAAAUGCGGAAGAGAUAAGUGCUGAAAGCAUCUAAGCACGAAACUUGCCCCGAGAUGAGUUCUCCCUGACUCCUUGAGAGUCCUGAAGGAACGUUGAAGACGACGACGUUGAUAGGCCGGGUGUGUAAGCGCAGCGAUGCGUUGAGCUAACCGGUACUAAUGAACCGUGAGGCUUAACCUU
RNAcentral lists this ribosomal RNA (2904 nucleotides) under Escherichia coli. RNAcentral's name for it is "23S ribosomal RNA". It matches the Rfam family "Bacterial large subunit ribosomal RNA". The record is from RNAcentral. Lineage: Bacteria; Pseudomonadati; Pseudomonadota; Gammaproteobacteria; Enterobacterales; Enterobacteriaceae.